Molecule: ribosomal RNA, 269 nt
Filed under: uncultured archaeon
Lineage: Archaea
Description: partial 16S ribosomal RNA
Rfam family: Archaeal small subunit ribosomal RNA
Source: RNAcentral
AGACGUCUACAUUAGAUACCCGUCGUAGUCCCAGCCGUAAACUAAUGCGCGUUAGGUGUAUCGGUGACCACGAGUCACCGAGGUGCCGAAGGGAAACCGUGAAACGUGCCGCCUGGGAAGUACGGUCGCAAGGCUGAAACUUAAAGGAAUUGGCGGGGGAGCACCGACAACGGGUGGAGCCUGCGGUUUAAUUGGACUCAACGCCGGGAAGCUCACCGGAAUAAGACAGCGGAAUGAUUGCCGGGCUGAAGACUCUGCAUGACUAGCUG